AACCCUCUUCUAUAGUCAGCGUUUCCCUCGAUACCAAGAAUUGUGUUCAAAUGCUUAUGGGAAACCACCAGUCAAAUAAGAAGGCGGUGCAUGGACCCUGAGCAGAACAUGAACUGUCAUCAAGCCCUUGUUGGGACUGUUCUAUGAGAGGAGGAGACAGAAAGGCCAACAUCUGAGCAGCUUUCUGAAAAUCAUCAUUUUUCUCUGCUGUGUCAGUUGUUGUUUCUCUUAGAUCAUGUACACCUGGUGAUGAACACAGCACAGGAGAGAGGCAGACAGAGAGAGAGAGAAAAAGUGGAGCCCGGGGCUGAGACCCCUGCCAUGAGGAGCGAGGAAGUACACGAAGAAGGCAACAUGGUGGGGGACCCAUGCUGCAAGCCAGGAGCCGUUUGAAACUCUACUGGAAUCAAGCCAGUUCAAUAAAUAAAUGAUAAAUGCAGAUGAGCCCACUGGUGAAGGGGAAGGGAUCUCUGCAGCCUCUGGCAUGGUGGCCUUGAGAAGUCCCCACUCCAUGCUCGCUUGAACUGUGAACUGAGGGCUUGGAGGGGCCGUAUGACUGUGACCAUGGAGAAGGCCCGAGAAUGGAGGGGGCGGUUGCGGCAGGAGAGGGAAAAGGAGAGGGGUGCAUUGGGAAAUGCACCAGGACAGCAUGGGUAUGCUCAGGUCACAAACUGAAAUGUUGCAGAGCACUGCUGACCUACAUGCCCAAACACCCCUGUGCAAGCAGCCUUUCCCAUUCUUGGAGAAUUCCCUGGGUGGUGCUCCCUAUACACCCAAAAAGUAGAGGUGACAGCAUGGUGUGCAUCUUUACCCCUAUCACUGUAUGCCAGGGAAAACCCAAGGAGAACUAGAGCUACACUUACUCCAACUUGUGAAACCACAGGCUCAGACAACUGCUGUUCACUCUUGUUUUGAACUUGGGGUUUCCGAGUAUGGUUCAUGUUGAUGCACUGUUUUUAAUGUGUGUAUUUGUUUCCACUUUACUUUAGUUGCCCUGUUUCAUUGCACAGCAUAAAAUUCUAUUUGUGGAAACUCAGAAUGUCUUCAUUAGGUCAGUAGUUUUCAAACUGCAGGUCGCGACCCAGUACUGAGCACUGGGUUGCUGCGGCUCUGGUCAGCACUGCGGACUGAGUGGUUAAAAGUCCUGUCAGCAGUGCUGCCCGGCUAAGGCAGGCUAGUUCCUACUUGUUCUAACAAUGUGUUGCACCCCAGAAGCGGCCAGCAACAGGUCUGGCUCCUCGCGGGGGGGGAGGGACACGGGGCUCCGCGUACUGCCCCCACCCCGAGCACCGGCUCCUGGCCAAUGGGAGCUGGGGAGGCAGUGCCUGUGGGCGAGAGCUUGCGCACCUCCGCCUACGAGCCGGACCUGCUGCUGGCUGCUUCUAGGGCGCAGCGCAAUCCGCGGUCCCAGGACAGGCAGGAAGCCUGCCUUAGCACCCCGGCUGCGCUGCUGACUGGGAGCCACCCGAGGUAAGCCCAUGCUCCAACCCUGUGCCCCAUUCCCUGCCCCAGCCCUGAGCUGCCCCUAAACCUGGAGCCCCCUCCUGCACCCUAAACUCCUCAUCCCCGGCCCCAACCCAGAGCCUGGACCCCCAGCUCAGAGGUUGACCCCCUACCACAUCCCAACCCUCUGCCCCAGUCCUGAGCCCCCCCAAACCCAGAGCCCCCUCCUGCACCUCAAACCCCUCAUCCCUGGACCUACCCCAGAGCCUGCGCCCCUAGCCCAGAGCCCUGACCCCCUCCUGCACGCUAACCCUCUACUCCAGCCCAGAGCCCCCUCCCACACCCUGAACCCCUCAUUCCCGGCCCCACCCCGCAGCACUCACCCCCGCAUGCCAGCCCUGAGCCCCUCCCACACCCCAAACCCCUCAUCCCCAGCUCCAUUGAGUCACAGGCAUCAACAAUUUUCUUCAACUGGGUCUCCAGAAAAAAAGUUUGAAAACCACUGCAUUAGGUUACUCAAAAUAGUACAAGUGGCAAAGAGUCCUGUGGCACCUUAUAGACUAACAGAUGUACUGGAGCAUGAGCUUUCGUGGGUGAAUACCCACUUCUUCAGAUACAUGUAGUGGAAAUUUCCAGAGCCAGGUAUAAAUAUGCAAGCAAGAAUCAGGCUAGGGAUAACGAGGUCAGUUCAAUCAGGGAGGAUGAGGCCCUCUUCUAGCAGUUGAGGUGUGAACACCAAGGGAGGAGAAACUGCUUUUGUAGUUGGCCGGCCAUUCACAGUCUUUGUUUAAUCCUGAGCUGAUGGUGUCAAAUUUGCAAAUGAACUGAAGCUCAGAAGUUUCUCUUUGAAGUCUGGUCCUGAAGUUUUUUUGCUGCAGGCUGGCUACCUUUCAAUCUGCUCUUGUGUGUCCAGUGAGAUUGAAGUGUUCUCCUACAGGUUUUUGUAGAUUGCCAUUCCUAAUAUCUGAUUUGUGUCCAUUUAUCCUUUUACGUAGGGACUGUCCAGUUUGGCCGAUGUACAUAGCAGAGGGGCAUUGCUGGCAUAUGAUGGCGUAUAAUACAUCGGUGGACGUGCAGGUGAAUGAACCGGUGAUGGUGUGGCUGAUCUGGUUAGGUCCUGUGAUGGUGUCGCUGGUGUAGAUAUGUGGGCAGAGUUGGCAUUGAGGUUUGUUGCAUGGAUCGGUUUCUGAGUUAGAGUUACUAUGGUGCAGUGCGUAGUUGCUGGUGAGAAUAUGCUUCAGGUUGGCGGGUUGUCUGUGGACGAGGACUGGCCUGCCUCGCAAGGCCUGUGAAAGUGAGAGAUCGUUGUCUGGGAUGGGUGGUAGAUCACUGAUGAUACGUUGGAGAGGUUUUAGCUGAGGACUGUAUGUGAUGGCCAGUGGAGUUCUGUUGGUUUCUUUCUUGGGCUUGUCUUGCAGCAGGAGGCUUCUGGGUACAUGUCUGGCUCUGUUGAUCUCUUUCCUUAUUUCCUCGUGUGGGUAUUGUAGUUUUGACAAUGCUUGGAGAAUGGAGGGGUGUGGCCGGUGCCCCGUUCACUUGCACUGGCAGAGCUGGAGUGCGGCUGCCAUGCCGGCCUGCAGGAGGGAUGGAAGACACCCGGGGCCUGCUCACCUGGGGAGAGGUACAGUCCCACCCUUGCACCUCGCCUGGGGCGGGUGGGCUGCGCCCUGGCGUGGGCUGGGAGUGCCAUGCAUGGCGGAGGGUCUCAUGCCUUCCCAGAGAUGCUGUGUUUAUAUUUUUUUUUGUUUAAUUUUUUACAGAAAACACGAAGGUCAUAUGUAGGGGGGAGGGUGUUCUGAAGAUGCUGUGCCUAGGGGCGCAGAAGGUGUAAAUCCAGCCCUGCUUGUAGCCCUUCUCCCCCAUGCCCCAAGCGAUCUCCUUGUAGAUGUCGACAUUUCUACUGCAGGAUUGGAGCUGUGCCUGCGCAGCCUCUUUGCCCCACAGAGCCGAGAGACCACCCCCUCCCGUGCACUGCAGGCAGGAGCGCGUCUGCUGCGUGGAGCCAGCACAAUCCGCUGGGCAGUUGCUAGUUGUGCUCUCCACACCGAGCAAUCAGGGAAAUAUAAUUUCAAAAAAUCGUGGGGCUUUAAAAGGGAAGGGAGAUGUACCUGCAUACUGGCCACUUGGCAGUGGUGUUCAAAAUGAUGACCAGAGUGGUCAUAGUGGGGCAUUGUGGGACACCUCCUAGAGGCCACUAAAGUCGACAUAAGUAACACAGUGUCUACACUGACACUGUAUGACCCCAACUACAUCGAGCUAAGUGCUAUGCCUCUUGCGGAGGUGGAGUUAUUAAGUUGGCGUAGUGGGCAAGUUACAUCGGCGGGAGUGACAUUUUAGUGUAGACACAGAGUUAGGUUGACAGAAGCUUCCUUGCAUCGACCUAACUCUACAGUGUAGACCAGGUAUGUCACUGCUAAAUACAAGGUUUGAACAGAUUGUUUCACAUAAGUAGUUAGCACAUAUUUUUAGCCCUGGUCUACACUACGAGGUUAGGUCAAAUUUAGCCGCAUUAGGUCGAUUUUAUAAGCAAUGCGUCUACACAACCAAACCUGUUCCGUCGACGUAAAGGACUCUUAAAAUUGGCUGCUGUACUCCUCCCUGGCAAGGGGAGUAGCGCUAAAAUCGACCCUGCUGGGUCAAAUUUGGGGUAGUGCAGAUGCAAUUUGAUGGUAUUGGACCCCGGGAGCUAUCCCAGAGUGCUCCAAUGUGACCACUCUGGACAGCACUUUCAACUCCAAUGCACUAGCCAGGUACACAGGAAAAGCCCCGGGAACUUUUGAAUUUCAUUUCCUGUUUGGUCAGCAUGGCGAGCUCAGCAGCACAGGUGACCGUGCAGUCCCAGAAUCGCAAACAAGCUCCAGCAUGGAGCGAACGGGAGACAUUGGAUCUGAUUGCUGUAUGGGGAGAACAAUCUGUGCAGGCAGAACUCCGAUC
This is a long non-coding RNA of Chelonia mydas (Green sea turtle), 4377 nucleotides long. RefSeq lists it as uncharacterized. The record is from RefSeq and is a predicted model, not a curated record. Lineage: Eukaryota; Metazoa; Chordata; Testudines; Cheloniidae. The transcript is spliced from 3 exons.